Molecule: ribosomal RNA, 466 nt
Filed under: Colletotrichum truncatum
Lineage: Eukaryota; Fungi; Ascomycota; Sordariomycetes; Glomerellales; Glomerellaceae
Description: eukaryotic LSU rRNA
Rfam family: 5.8S ribosomal RNA (bases 107-260)
Source: RNAcentral
AGGACGUCUCCCGGCCCUCUCCCGUCCGCGGGUGGGGCGCCCGCCGGAGGAUAACCAAACUCUGAUUUAACGACGUUUCUUCUGAGUGACACAAGCAAAUAAUCAAAACUUUUAACAACGGAUCUCUUGGUUCUGGCAUCGAUGAAGAACGCAGCGAAAUGCGAUAAGUAAUGUGAAUUGCAGAAUUCAGUGAAUCAUCGAAUCUUUGAACGCACAUUGCGCCCGCCAGCAUUCUGGCGGGCAUGCCUGUUCGAGCGUCAUUUCAACCCUCAAGCUCUGCUUGGUGUUGGGGCUCUACGGUUGACGUAGGCCCUUAAAGGUAGUGGCGGACCCUCUCGGAGCCUCCUUUGCGUAGUAACAUUUCGUCUCGCAUUGGGAUUCGGAGGGACUCUAGCCGUAAAACCCCCAAUUUUACUAAGGUUGACCUCGGAUCAGGUAGGAAUACCCGCUGAACUUAAGCAUAUCA